RNAcentral lists this small nuclear RNA (22 nucleotides) under Arabidopsis thaliana (thale cress). RNAcentral describes it as "snRNA_07637". The record is from RNAcentral. Lineage: Eukaryota; Viridiplantae; Streptophyta; Magnoliopsida; Brassicales; Brassicaceae.
AGACAAGUGUGCAAGAGAUUUC